Molecule: ribosomal RNA, 462 nt
Filed under: uncultured delta proteobacterium
Lineage: Bacteria; Deltaproteobacteria
Description: bacterial SSU rRNA
Rfam family: Bacterial small subunit ribosomal RNA
Source: RNAcentral
CGGGGGGCUGCAGUGGGGAAUCUUGCGCAAUGGGGGAAACCCUGACGCAGCAACGCCGCGUGGGUGAUGAAGGCCUUCGGGUCGUAAAGCCCUGUCAGGUGGGAAGAAACAUGUCGAUGCGAAUAACAUCGGCAUUUGACGGUACUACCGGAGGAAGCACCGGCUAACUCCGUGCCAGCAGCCGCGGUAAUACGGAGGGUGCAAGCGUUGUUCGGAAUUAUUGGGCGUAAAGCGCGUGUAGGCGGUCGAGUAAGUCAGAUGUGAAAGCCUUCCGCUCAACGGAAGAAGUGCAUUUGAAACUGCUUGACUAGAGUACGGGAGAGGAGAGUGGAAUUCCCGGUGUAGAGGUGAAAUUCGUAGAUAUCGGGAGGAACACCAGUGGCGAAGGCGGCUCUCUGGUCCGAUACUGACGCUGAGACGCGAAAGCGUGGGGAGCAAACAGGAUUAGAUACCCCUGUAGUC